UAUUAAAAAUUCUAUCUAUUUGUAUUAUUAAAAACUAAUAUAGUUGACGAAAUAACCACAUAAUGACACCUAGUGUAUCACGUGCAUCACAUGCUGACGUACAUGAAUCAAUUUUUAACAGUAAAAUUGAUGAAAUUUUUAACA
This is a non-coding RNA of Gossypium hirsutum (cotton), 144 nucleotides long. NCBI's taxonomy places the organism in Eukaryota, Viridiplantae, Streptophyta, Magnoliopsida, Malvales, Malvaceae. The record is from Rfam.